Molecule: transfer RNA, 84 nt
Filed under: Geothermobacter ehrlichii
Lineage: Bacteria; Pseudomonadati; Thermodesulfobacteriota; Desulfuromonadia; Desulfuromonadales; Geothermobacteraceae
Description: tRNA-Leu
Rfam family: tRNA
About the family: Transfer RNA (tRNA) molecules are approximately 80 nucleotides in length. Their secondary structure includes four short double-helical elements and three loops (D, anti-codon, and T loops).
Source: RNAcentral
GCCGAAGUGGUGGAACUGGUAGACACGCCAUCUUGAGGGGGUGGUGGCCAUCCGGCCGUGCGAGUUCGAGUCUCGCCUUCGGCA